UCCCCCUUCCGGGGGCGGACCUGGUGCUGGGGCUCGGCCGUCCUCGUGGCGGCCGUCCCUUAAAUCCAGUGGCGGUCACGCCGUGAUCCCUUGCGUAGUACUACACCUCGCACCGGAGAGCGACGCGGCCCGCCGUAAAACACCCAAUUUUUCAAUGGUUGACCUCGGAUCAGGUAGGAAUACCCGCUGAACUUAAGCAUAUCAAUAAGCGGAGGAAAAGAAACCAACAGGGAUUGCCUUAGUAACGGCGAGUGAAGCGGCAACAGCUCAAAUUUGAAAUCUGGCCCUCGGGUCCGAGUUGUAAUUUGUAGAGGAUGCUUUUGGCAACGUGCUUUCCGAGUCCCCUGGAACGGGGCGCCAUAGAGGGUGAGAGCCCCGUCUGGUUACGCACCUAGCCUCUGUAAAGCUCCUUCGACGAGUCGAGUAGUUUGGGAAUGCUGCUCUAAAUGGGAGGUGUAUGUCUUCUAAAGCUAAAUACCGGCCAGAGACCGAUAGCGCACAAGUAGAGUGAUCGAAAGAUGAAAAGUACUCUGAAGAGAGAGUUAAAUAGCACGUGAAAUUGUUAAAGGGGAAGCGUUUAUGACCAGACUUGGGGCAGGUCGAUCAUCUGGCGUUCUCGCCAGUGCACUCGGCCGGCUCUAGGCCAGCAUCAGUUUGCGCCGGGGGAUAAAGGCUUCGGGAACGUAUCUCCCCCCGGGGAGUGUUAUAGACCGUUGCGUAAUACCCUGGUGCGGACUGAGGAACGCG
This 747-nucleotide ribosomal RNA is filed under the name uncultured Hypocreales. RNAcentral describes it as "eukaryotic LSU rRNA". The stretch from base 160 to 747 matches the Rfam family "Eukaryotic large subunit ribosomal RNA", at positions 1 to 599 of the family's 3401-position model. The record is from RNAcentral. Lineage: Eukaryota; Fungi; Ascomycota; Sordariomycetes; Hypocreales.